This 102-nucleotide non-coding RNA is filed under the name Megasphaera hominis. RNAcentral's name for it is "SAM riboswitch (S box leader)". It matches the Rfam family "SAM riboswitch aptamer (S box leader)". Rfam says of the family: The SAM riboswitch is found upstream of a number of genes which code for proteins involved in methionine or cysteine biosynthesis in Gram-positive bacteria. Lineage: Bacteria; Bacillati; Bacillota; Negativicutes; Veillonellales; Veillonellaceae. The record is from RNAcentral.
UCAUCCAGAGCAGCUGAAGGACUGGCCUUAUGACGCUGCGGCAACCUCCUGUGAGGGCAGGAAGGUGCCAAUUCCAGCAGGAUCUAAUACCUGACAGAUGAG